Non-coding RNA from Cricetulus griseus (Chinese hamster), 1552 nucleotides. NCBI's taxonomy places the organism in Eukaryota, Metazoa, Chordata, Mammalia, Rodentia, Cricetidae. The record is from RefSeq and is a predicted model, not a curated record.
GUACAGACUGCUGCCCCCGGCGGCUGGCUAGGUCUCUCUGUGUUUGGAUGGAUGUGUGCACCAUGGAGGUCAGAGAACAAUCUUGUGGAGUUGGUUAUCUUCUUACACCUUCUCAUGGAUUCUGGGUGGAGUAUUGAACCAGCUUACCCUGAAAGCAUCUUCACGAAUCCCGAAGAAGUAGGCUCCAAUGCCAGUGAAGGAAUGGAUUGCUAGCAAGGAGAAGACAAGCAUACAAAGAGCAAAAGCUUCCUUCUUCCAUGUCCUUAUAAUGGCUUCCAGCAGAAGGUGUGGCCCAGAUUAAACCUUCUUGACUCAAGAUCUGGAUUAAAGGCAUAUGUCCUCUCAGGACCCAGGUCAAAAGCUUGUGUCUUCUUGCCUCAAAGGUCCGAAAGAGAAGUGGAUUCACCUACUUCAGACCAAGCAGAAAAUUUCUCACAGUUGUGGUCAAUUUGACAGCCAAGAACAACUAUCACAAGUCUCUUGAUAUAAAACUACUAAGGAGAUUCCCCCAAAGUAGACUUAAUGGAACUUCAUUUUCAGUUUUCCAGGGGGGCACUGCCAAUUAAUUCAGUUGUAUGCUUGAUGCUCUAGUACUACACACGGCAAAAGCCUUUUCUAAGCCUAAGGCAUGCUAGCUAUGGGCUCACAAGCAAGUAAGUGUCUCAUCAGUCAGGUAACCACAUGUGAUUCAGCUGAAGUUGCCCCCAGGGACUCCUCAGACACUCUUCUCCAGACACUGGUGGAGUUUUGGAGCAUCCUCAGGCUUUCAUGGAAUCUGAGAGGUGGUGGUGCAUGCUUUUAAUCCCAACACGUGGGAGGCAGAGGUAGGUGGGUCUCUGAGUCCAAGGCCAGUAUGGUCUAUGGAGGACAACCAGAGCUACACAAAGAAAGCCUGUCUCAAAACAAACAAACAAACAAACAACAGCAAACCAAAACAAAAAUCCAUAAAACAAAUGAACAAUAAGAGGAAUCUGAGCAACUACUGGGUUAGGAAUGUACAUUUUUGUUAGAAUUGUAAAGUCAAUUUGAGAUGCUUUAGUACGUUUGGUUAUUAUUUGUAGGUUUCUCACUAUAUAUUACCAUAGUGUGGCUAUAUCUUCUGAUUCAUAUAUGAAUCUAAUGUGAACAUACUCAGAGGCACAGCCUCCAGGAAGGGACCAUACCAUCAGAGCAGGACCCAUGGACAGAAUCUGUCUUUGUAAGAUGGGUGAGCAAGUGGAUUCUCACCCUCCUCUUCACAGAACAUACCCAACACAGUUUAUGUCUUUAUGGGACCCAGCACUGUCCUCACACAGUAUAUGUCCACAUGCCUCAACAUAGUACAUGUACACAUGGUGCACACAGCAUAUGUCCACUUGCGGCACAGCACUGGCCCCACACACCACAUAUGUCCUUAUAGUGCCCCCUGGGCAGAGAAAGGGCUUCAUCAGACAUUGAACUCCCUGACACACUGAUUUAAAAGCCAUGUCUUUGAAAUGGUGAGAAAUCCAUACAUUUGUGAUGUGUAUGAAUCGCACAGUAUUCUAUUACAGUAGCAAAUAAAACAUGUGAU